GAUGAACGCUGGCGGCGUGCCUAAUACAUGCAAGUCGAGCGAACAGACGAGGAGCUCGCUCCUCUGACGUUAGCGGCGGACGGGUGAGUAACACGUGGAUAACCUACCUAUAAGACUGGGAUAACUUCGGGAAACCGGAGCUAAUACCGGAUAAUAUAUUGAACCGCAUGGUUCAAUAGUGAAAGACGGUUUUGCUGUCACUUAUAGAUGGAUCCGCGCCGCAUUAGCUAGUUGGUAAGGUAACGGCUUACCAAGGCGACGAUGCGUAGCCGACCUGAGAGGGUGAUCGGCCACACUGGAACUGAGACACGGUCCAGACUCCUACGGGAGGCAGCAGUAGGGAAUCUUCCGCAAAGGGCGAAAGCCUGACGGAGCAACGCCGCGUGAGUGAUGAAGGUCUUCGGAUCGUAAAACUCUGUUAUUAGGGAAGAACAAAUGUGUAAGUAACUAUGCACGUCUUGACGGUACCUAAUCAGAAAGCCACGGCUAACUACGUG
This 497-nucleotide ribosomal RNA is filed under the name uncultured bacterium. Its description in RNAcentral is "partial 16S ribosomal RNA". It matches the Rfam family "Bacterial small subunit ribosomal RNA", at positions 28 to 507 of the family's 1533-position model. The record is from RNAcentral.